Rosa chinensis is the source of this 1229-nucleotide long non-coding RNA. RefSeq lists it as uncharacterized. The record is from RefSeq and is a predicted model, not a curated record. NCBI's taxonomy places the organism in Eukaryota, Viridiplantae, Streptophyta, Magnoliopsida, Rosales, Rosaceae. The transcript is spliced from 2 exons.
UUCCAACUAUCUGUGAAACAUGAUAAAAAAAUUCUUAACACUUAGUUUACAAGUAGUGCAGUGAUCUGAAUCUAGUUUCCAGAGUAGUCUUAUAUAGCUGUCACUAAAAUUAUAAAGUAAACAAGAUUCAGUUUGAUAGCCAACUCACCUUGACGAUCAAUGUGGAGGCACCAAACAUGUUGGGAGUAUCAACUCCGUUUAGAUAAGCUUUGAUUUCAGGUAUACCAGGUCCAGCUGCAGUGGGUGCGAAACACACGCAGAGAACAGCGGCAACUGCGGUGAAUAGAAGAUUUGUCACAGCUAAAAAGAUGAACCCCAUCAGCAGCUGGGGAUAACAAAUGAAGUACAGGGAAUGCCACAAACCUUUCCUCAUCUAUGUAAGCAACCACAGCAAGAAGCUUGUAGCCUGCAAUAUUCUCAACGGCGAGGUUGAUGAGAGUGGCAAUUAGACCGGUUAGAAGUCCAAUGAGCCAGGCAAGCGUCCAUUUCAACAAUACAUACUGGAAGACUUGGACCUUGGAUCUGCUUCUCCAGUCGUGCUUAAACAGGUCAUUCUCAUUGAUCCUGCAUCGAACUAACUUCAGUUCAAUGUAAAAUCAAGACAAGGAAACCGGAAUUGCAUUACAAUGAAACAGAGGAGUUCGGAUAGUUACUCGUAGUCCAGACUCUCGAUGUGGGAGACUUUGGCUCCAACCAGAGCCAGUGGAUUGGAAGAGAGUGUUCUGUUUCUCUUGAGGAGUGGUUGGAUCAGUGAAUUGCUUUCUGGAUCUCUUUCUUCCGAUUCAACUUCUCCUUCCACGUUCUGGGGAAUUGCUGCUUCUGCAUAAUGGUUUGAAUGUUCCUCCAUCGAGCUAAUGGAAGCUCCACAGAGAGAGACAGAGAAGCUCAGACAGUAUGAAGCUAGUGCUCUGUUCUGAGUUUAGAAAUGGUGAGAAGCAGAGAAGAGAUCUCAUGCAACAUUUAUAGCGAGUAUAUUAAUAAUUACAUAUGGAUAGACACUUGUUCGAUUUUGUACAUACAUGACAACAGUGGCAUUUCUCUAUUCCAAUGAUUGAUUGAGGUCAUAGAUAGAUUUUCGUGCCGAAUAGGCCAAUGUGGUUAAUUCCGUCGAUGUGGGAGUUGGUCAAUAUGGUAAUUUUUCGAAUGGAUGAAACCUUAUCGAUUAUUAGGCUUGGACGUUUACCAUAACUGAAGUUGAAUAAUUGAAUUGCAUAAUGUGUUGCUUUCAA